Nycticebus coucang (slow loris) is the source of this 102-nucleotide small nuclear RNA. Lineage: Eukaryota; Metazoa; Chordata; Mammalia; Primates; Lorisidae. The record is from RefSeq and is a predicted model, not a curated record.
GUGCUCACUUCAGCGGCACAUGUACUAAAAUCAAAAUGAUACAGAGAUUAGCAUGGCUCCUGUGCAAGGGUGACAUACAAACUGGAAGCAUUCCAUAUUUUA